CACACUGGGACUGAGAUACGGCCCAGACUCCUACGGGAGGCAGCAGUGGGGAAUAUUGCACAAUGGGCGCAAGCCUGAUGCAGCGACGCCGCGUGGGGGAUGACGGCCUUCGGGUUGUAAACCUCUUUCACCAUCGACGAAGGUCCGGGUUUUCCCGGAUUGACGGUAGGUGGAGAAGAAGCACCGGCCAACUACGUGCCAGCAGCCGCGGUAAUACGUAGGGUGCGAGCGUUGUCCGGAAUUACUGGGCGUAAAGAGCUCGUAGGUGGUUUGUCGCGUUGUUCGUGAAAUCUCACGGCUUAACUGUGAGCGUGCGGGCGAUACGGGCAGACUAGAGUACUGCAGGGGAGACUGGAAUUCCUGGUGUAGCGGUGGAAUGCGCAGAUAUCAGGAGGAACACCGGUGGCGAAGGCGGGUCUCUGGGCAGUAACUGACGCUGAGGAGCGAAAGCGUGGGGAGCGAACAGGAUUAGAUACCCUGGUAGUCCACGCCGUAAACGGUGGGUACUAGGUGUGGGUUUCCUUCCUUGGGAUCCGUGCCGUAGCUAACGCA
Molecule: ribosomal RNA, 552 nt
Filed under: bacterium Ellin6531
Lineage: Bacteria
Description: bacterial SSU rRNA
Rfam family: Bacterial small subunit ribosomal RNA
Source: RNAcentral